RNAcentral lists this non-coding RNA (162 nucleotides) under Picochlorum sp. RCC944. The record is from RNAcentral. Lineage: Eukaryota; Viridiplantae; Chlorophyta; Trebouxiophyceae.
CGCCCUGAGCUCCCCAAGUGCUGCGAGUACUUUGUUCAACUCACAGGAGCAACAGAGGGCGGCAGUGUCAGCGAUGAACCAAGCCGUGAGUGCCAUGAACAUGCAACCAAACUGGUGGCACGACCCGAUGAAGGUCAUGGGGAUUCAGCACAUGCCAAGCUU